This 21-nucleotide non-coding RNA is filed under the name Caenorhabditis elegans. The record is from RNAcentral. Lineage: Eukaryota; Metazoa; Nematoda; Chromadorea; Rhabditida; Rhabditidae.
UACAAUAAUAGAAGAACAUGG